CGUGGAGGGUCAUUGGAAACUGGGGGACUUGAGUGCAGAAGAGGAAAGACGAAUUCCACGUGUAGAGGUAAAAUGCGUAGAGAUGUGGAAACACCAGUGGCGAAGGCGGCUUUCUGGUCUGUAACUGACGCGAGGCGCGAAAGCGUGGGGCAAACAGGAUUAGAUACCCUGGUAGUCCACGCCGUAAACGAUGUGCUAAGUGUUAGAGGUUUCCNCCCUUUAGUGCUGCCAUUAACGCAUUACACUCCGCCUGGGGAGUACGGCCGCAAGGCUGAAACUCAAAGGAAUUGACGGGGGCCGCACAAGCGGUGGAGCAUGUGGUUUAAUUCGAGCAACGCGAAGAACCUUACCAGGUCUUAACAUCCUCUNCACUCCUAGAGAUAGGACUUUCUUCGGGGGACAGAGUGA
Molecule: ribosomal RNA, 408 nt
Filed under: Bacillus sp. DBRL-08
Lineage: Bacteria; Bacillati; Bacillota; Bacilli; Caryophanales; Bacillaceae
Description: bacterial SSU rRNA
Rfam family: Bacterial small subunit ribosomal RNA
Source: RNAcentral